This 209-nucleotide unclassified non-coding RNA is filed under the name Hevea brasiliensis (rubber tree). Lineage: Eukaryota; Viridiplantae; Streptophyta; Magnoliopsida; Malpighiales; Euphorbiaceae. The record is from RNAcentral.
GGGUGCACCUCCUUGGCUGCUGUUGCUGCCAACUGCUAUUUUCCAAAAUGGCCAUACUCUCCUUGCUAUUAUUACUGACAUCAAUAACCUGUUCUUGCUCCUCAUCAACAUCCGCUUCCUCUCCUCCUGUUUCUUCUUCUUCCACUUCACUAUCUCUUGUCUUGUUAUUGCUUGUGCAGCUGGUGCUUUCUUUUUUAGGCAUAAUGAGU